AUACGGAGGCUGCAAGCGUUAAUCGGAAUUACUGGGCGUAAAGCGUACGUAGGCGGUUCGUUAAGUUAGAUGUGAAAGCCCCGGGCUUAACCUGGGAACUGCAUUUAAAACUGGCGAACUAGAGUUGAGUAGAGGGGAGUGGAAUUUCAGGUGUAGCGGUGAAAUGCGUAGAGAUCUGAAGGAACACCAGUGGCGAAGGCGACUCCCUGGACUCGAACUGACGCUGAGGUACGAAAGCGUGGGUAGCAAACGGGAUUAGAAACCCCAGUAGUCC
This 274-nucleotide ribosomal RNA is filed under the name uncultured bacterium. Its description in RNAcentral is "partial 16S ribosomal RNA". It matches the Rfam family "Bacterial small subunit ribosomal RNA", at positions 523 to 796 of the family's 1533-position model. The record is from RNAcentral.